Molecule: unclassified non-coding RNA, 364 nt
Filed under: uncultured bacterium
Lineage: Bacteria
Description: contains 16S-23S intergenic spacer region
Source: RNAcentral
UCCCCGUUACCGAGGCAGUCUCGUUAGAAAAAUACAACUAACGAUAAGGGUUGCGCUCGUUGCGGGACUUAACCCAACAUCUCACGACACGAGCUGACGACGGCCAUGCAACACCUGUCACUGCGUUCAAUAAAGCACAGACUCCUUUCGGAGUCCUUCGCAGGAUGUCAAACCCUGGUAAGGUUCUUCGCUUAUCAUCGAAUUAAACAACACGCUCCACCGCUUGUGCGGGUCCCCGUCAAUUCCUUUGAGUUUUAGCCUUGCGACCGUACUCCCCAGGCGGGAUGCUUAACGCGUUAGCUUCGCUUCUAAACGGGUCGAUACGUCUAAAUAGCUAGCAUCCAUCGUUUACGGCGUGGACUAC